This 250-nucleotide unclassified non-coding RNA is filed under the name plant metagenome. RNAcentral's name for it is "partial contains small subunit ribosomal RNA, internal transcribed spacer 1, and 5.8S ribosomal RNA". The record is from RNAcentral.
GUAGGUGAACCUGCGGAAGGAUCAUUACAGAGAACAUGCCCUCCAGGGUAGAUCUCCCACCCCAUGUUUACCUAUCUUUGUUGCUUUGGCAGGCCUGUCUCACGACUACCGGCUUUAGCUGGCCAGCGCCUGCCAGAGGAUUUCAAACUCUUAAUUAGUGUUGUCUGAGUACUAGGAAAAAUAUUUAAAACUUUCAACAACGGAUCUCUUGGUUCUGGCAUCGAUGAAGAACGCAGCAUCUGACUGACUU